GACGAACGCUGGCGGCGUGCUUAACACAUGCAAGUCGAACGGAAAGGCCCUGCUUGCAGGGUCCUCGAGUGGCGAACGGGUGAGUAACACGUGGGUGCUCUGCCCUCCACUUCUUGAUAAGCCUGGGCGACUGGGUCUAAUCCCGGAUAGCAGCCACUUUUAGUGUGUUGGUUCGAGAGUUUUUUCGGUGUAGGAUGAGCUCGCGGCCUAUCAGCUUGUUGGGGGGGUAAUGGCCUACCAAGGCGGCGAGGGGUAGCCGGCCUGAGAGUGUGGACGGCCACAUUGGGACUGAGAGACGGCCCAGACGGCGAAGGGAGGCAGCAGUGGGGAAGAGUGAACAAGGGGCGCAAGGCUGAUGCAGCGAGGCCGCGGGGGGGAUGACGGCCUUCGGGUGGUAAAAACGCAGCGGGAGGGACGAAGCCUGUUGUGACGGUACCUAGAGAAGAAGCACCGGCUAACUACGUG
This 465-nucleotide ribosomal RNA is filed under the name uncultured bacterium. Its description in RNAcentral is "partial 16S ribosomal RNA". It matches the Rfam family "Bacterial small subunit ribosomal RNA", at positions 28 to 507 of the family's 1533-position model. The record is from RNAcentral.